CCCCACCAAUUGUACAUUCUUCUCAUUAAAGAAUCAGAGUUUUUCCCCUAAAUAUAUAUGAAGUUCGCAUGGAUUGAUCGAUUUUGCACUUGAUUUCCCCUGUCUUUUUUCAUCUGCCAUUGGUUGUUAUUUUCAAGGAUCAAAUAAUCUUAUACCACCUUGUUAGAACCUUCACCUUCCUUGACAGAGAUAGGCGAUGCAAUCCUAAAGAACUUAUGAAAGAAAUUCCAUUGAACAAAUAUGAAAUUAUAGACAAAGUUGAGAGAAUAGAGAGAAACUAGUAACUUGUUUAUCUCGUGAAUUACUUCCCAUAAAAUUGUACAAUCCAAUUAGUAGAAAAUUCAAUGAUUGUAACUACCACAUCUUGACA
RNAcentral lists this long non-coding RNA (370 nucleotides) under Capsicum annuum. Its description in RNAcentral is "long non-coding RNA (CANN_LNC009947)". The record is from RNAcentral. Lineage: Eukaryota; Viridiplantae; Streptophyta; Magnoliopsida; Solanales; Solanaceae.